RNAcentral lists this ribosomal RNA (477 nucleotides) under Triticum aestivum (bread wheat). Its description in RNAcentral is "partial small subunit ribosomal RNA". The record is from RNAcentral. Lineage: Eukaryota; Viridiplantae; Streptophyta; Magnoliopsida; Poales; Poaceae.
AUGAGUCGUCAUGAUGGUAUCAACAUUCCCGAUGGCAAGUUCUACCUAGGAGAUGCUAGCUAUGCAUGUUGGCCAUGUGUUCUUCCACCCUUCAGGAAAACUAGAUAACAUUUGAACGAGUUAUCUGGUAGGAACUGUCCUAGGACUCCUCAGGAACUGUUUUAUCUCAGACACUUCAGCCGUAGAGUAAUAAUUGAGAGGGCAUUUGGAGAUCUGAAGAAUAUGUUUAUCCUGAAUCAGAAGCCAUUCCACCCUUACCCUACUCAGGUCAAGCUUGUUCUUCAAUGUUGCAUCAUUCACAAUUGGAUCAUGCAAUGGGGAAUUGAUGAACUUGUGCUGGAGGAGGAAGAUGUAACUCUUGAUGAGGUGAUCAGCUCCGGCCAUGGUGUGUAGGCAUUCGACAACGAAGCAUGGAAGAACAAAACGUUGGAGUGGGCUCAUGCAAUAUGGGAUAACAGAGGUCAGACAAGGAUCUAA